Molecule: non-coding RNA, 258 nt
Organism: Camellia sinensis
Lineage: Eukaryota; Viridiplantae; Streptophyta; Magnoliopsida; Ericales; Theaceae
Source: RefSeq, a predicted model, not a curated record
CAUGAGCUCUUCUUCCCGCCUCAGCGGACAGCUUCUCGGCGGCUGCUGGCGAGCUUGGGAGUUGUGGGUGUAUGCCUAUUUUCCCAGGCUUGCCCCAGUACCUGAUAUGGAGACCCCACUCGGUGUCCCCUUUUCUCAUCGCUUUGACGUGCGAUGCGUGCGGAGACCGCAAGAGUCUUUUAUUUUCUUCCGCUGCUACUACGACACCAUCACCGCCGCGGGGAUCACCUGGCAGCCCUGGGCUCCGUUGCCGGCCGU